Molecule: long non-coding RNA, 443 nt
Filed under: Trifolium pratense (red clover)
Lineage: Eukaryota; Viridiplantae; Streptophyta; Magnoliopsida; Fabales; Fabaceae
Description: long non-coding RNA (TPRA_LNC003528)
Source: RNAcentral
CUCACAGCCUCCGACGGCGCCGGAAACGAAACUGGAUCUACCACCAUCCGAGCCGCCAUCUACCACCGGGAAAUCAGGAGGUGCGAUAAUGAACGCCCCGAACACCACGAAGAAGAAAAAAGAAGACGAACACGAAGAAGAAAAAGCUACUGGCGCCGGAGAAGAAGCACACAGAGCCUGCGUCGAUUAAGACGCGGUGGUGCGAAGGACUGACCUCAUCCUCGUCGCACUACCACCACCGUCUUUUCUACAUAGUGAAAGGAGAGGUUUGGAUUUUAGGGAGGAUUGCAGAUCUGAGAUGGUGACGGAGAAUAAAACUUGAUUGAUGCGGGGAAAUUAUAUCAUUCAAAAAAGGCUUAUCCUUCUAACAAUAACUUUAGAAAUAAGUAUUUUUCUCUUGAAAUCAUUUCAUUUGUCUAUACAAAGAGAUAGUGUGUGUGAAG